AGAGGGAAGGGCCGGGGCGUCGCCCCCGACGCAGACGAGACCGCCGGCGGCCUUGCAGGGGCUUGCGGUGGCGCGGUGGACGAGGAACUACCGGAUCUCGACGGAUCCGGUGGGGAAUGGCGCGGGGGCGGCGAAUCAGGAAGGAAGGCGGCCGGAGCUUGGAGCACGACGGCUGGCCGGCGCGCCAUGGCGUCGGGUACCUGCGAGAGAAGAGAGAGACAAGUGGGAGAGAAAAGGGAGGACGGGAGGAAGGAGAUGGAAGGCCGGAGGGAGAAAGAAGAGAGCGGUGAGGUGCGGCAGCGGUCCUGCGGCUGCUGCUCGCUGGUGGCUCGCCGGCCAUCGGCGCUAGGUGGGGCUCGGGUGCGCGGAGGCGUCGGGGAUCGAGUGAGCUCUCCUCAAUCGCGGUUGGAGGCACUCGGGGUCGAGCAAGUGAGCGACGUUCCGUCGUCGCCUUGGUCGGCCUUCGUCCGUUCCCCUCGCGUGCCUUAUCCCCUCAGGUCACACGUAAGCUACAUCCCCUCUCACUUCCCCAUUAAUUUGCUACCUUUGAUUAGAUUUCUCUGGUUGAAAUUGGAGCCUCAUGUAGUUUAGUGUUGAUCUGAGCUACACACUAGCGAUUAUUUCUGCACAUGGUUGUAUUCAAGGGAGAUUUUGGAUGGAUGCGGCUGCUGCUGCUGCUGGAUGCAGUUGUUGGAAUUGUAAGGGAAUUCAGUGGAUAAUGUGUCAGAAAGUUAGACAAUUUAGCUAUGGAUAUUUUCAAUAUUUAGCAACCUGCUUUGGGGUUUCAGUGUUCUGCAGAUAAAUUUCUGAUGCCUUGCUCUUCUAGGAGUUGUGGUUUAUCUAUGCAAACAUGAACCUUAUAUAAGUAAUUGGUGUUCCAUUGAUGUGUCCAAAUGACCCUGAAAUAUAAAAUUGAAUUGUGUAAGUGAAUUGAUGAUGAUACAUGCUUCAGUUUCUGAAUAUUGGGAAGCAAUCCUCAUGACAUUUCCAUGUGAAUCUUUUGAAAUCCACUUUUGGGUGACUCAUUUUUUAUUAUAAUGAAUUUAAAUUCACAUUUCAAUUACUUAUGAACAAAGCUGGUACAUAUAUUGAAGGAGGCUCAACAUUGAUGGUUACACCCUGCCGAGAUUUGUGAGAACUGCCCACUUUUUCUUUUCUGGGUGUAGCAUCUGCAGGCCUACAUGCAAUCAUUAUUUUUGUUAAGCAACAGAAUGCUACAGUUAUCUACAGAGUUAUAGGUGAGGGGCGAUGAGAGUUGGUUUAUGUUGGUAUUCAACUUGGUUUGGUACAUCUAUAUAAAGCUCACAUGUAUUCCACUACAUUUGUCUUAAAAGUGUAUCCGUGUAGAUUUUCAGUUCAAAGGUUUGCAUUAAGUCUAUUUUCACUCCAUGCAGAUGAUACAUUUCUUAUCACCCAAUGCACUGUUUAGGGGAUCCUUCUAAUCUGGCAUGCUUUUUGGUCUGCCCUGCUUUAGGUAGUUCAUGUUGACUCCUUAAUUCUUCAGUGAUAAUGAGCUAUUCAUGGAUCUAGCAACUGACUGUAUUUGCUUUGUCCCGAGAUGAUGGAUACUUUUUUUAUGAGAUCAUGGAUACUUGAAUGCCCUUUCUUGACCACAUACGGUUUCUGAUUGUUUUCGUACGUUUAUGCCUCUUCUGAGCUUGUGGAACCCAUUUAUUUUCCCAAAGAUCACUUGUGCCUGCUAAGUCUUGGGAUCCAUUUUUUUGUUCCUAUGUGACCAAUCCGUAGAAGAAUGCAUGCUCCUGAGCCAUAGAAGAAAUCAGCAGGUGGACAAAGUUGAGGGCCCGAGGUAGCAAUAGUUCUUCAAAGGCACUGGGCAAUAAUUGAUUGGUCGAAGGUAGCAUUUUCUGUCGAACUUCAAUUGACAGGGAAGAAAUUCUUUCUAUAUGUGCCUUUGGUUUUCUUUCGCUUAGGGAGUUCGUACAGUUCUUUUUUCAGGGCAAGAGAUUCUUCAGCUAGAUAACAAAGAGCACUUUAAUUAAUUAGAUCAGAAGUUGCUUUUACCAUCGAGCUUCAGUUGACAGGGAAAAAAUUGUUUCUGUCUAUGCCUUUGGUUUUCUUUUACUUAGGGAGUUUGUAUAGUUUUUUUCAGGGGAAGAGAUUCUUCAGCUAGAUGAGAAAGAGCACUCUGAUUAAUUAGAUCAGAAGUUGCGUGUGAUGAUGAUUGCUCGUGCAGACUACAAUGGCACCAACCACCAGGCGAGGUCGUCAGUGAGGCGCCGUUGGUGGACAUGAGUAAAGCUUCUUGACCUAUACGAUUCAUGGUUUGGCAUAUUUGCUUCAUCGGAGUGCUUCAUGUACUUGGUCUGAGAUGAUUGAGAUCCUUAAUUUGCAUUGGUUUAUUUUGCCGCAUCUCCUGCAAUACAUUAGUGAAAAGCUUAGCAGUGCUGAUCUUCUAAACUUGAAGUUAAUUAUGACUUGCUUAAACUCAUAAUAAUUUUGUUUUGGAGAGUGCAGAAAUCAUUUUGAGGAAACAGUGAACAAAAAAGUUGGGGCAUCCAUUCCUGGGUAAUCAGCUGGGAGAAGCCCAGAAAAAUCUGACAGGAGUGGUGACAGUAGCAGCAGCAUGCCUGAUACAAGACCCCUGAAUAGUGAUUGGAGCAUUAAAGCCAUGGUGGUAUUCAUUUUUUGCAGCCGUUGGAUGAUGUAUCAUAAAACAGAAUUUCACUUCGGAUAGCUGCAUGUGUACAUAUGUGGUGGAGGAACUCAACAAUUUCCAGUAAAAGCAAACGUUUUUGCAGUCAAAGGUAACCUUUGCUACAUCUGUUAUUGAAUAUAUGUUGGGGAGGACAGUAGCAGUUUUCAGAUGUUUGUGUGUUAAAUCCGUUGUAAGCUUUCCAUCUGUGCAUUAUUCAUAAACUUAAUGGGCUUCAAUUUUAUGCUGCAUGAUGCAGAUAAAUUUAUUGGUUAUUUAAAAUAUCGACAGAUAUUUUCUAUAUCUGGAAGGAUGGGCCACAUUGAACUCACUAAUUCUUUUACAAGCGCACAUGAAUUGCUAAUACAGGCCGGUCAUGUUUUCCAACUUUUCCUUCUUCUCCUGAUGUUCCCCUGUACUACUUGCCAAGGAUCAAGUGCCUCUAAAGUUAUACAUGUGUACAUAUAUUGAAUGAUAUACUUUUUACUAGGGAUUUCUUUAUCGAGCGUUUAACAUGCUUUAGUUAGUUUGCAUGGCAUUUCCACUAUGCUUAGAACAACAUUGUGAAGGUACGUGUUAUUCUACCUCUUGGGCUGUAAUGCUCCAUUCAUUCAAUGUUUUAGGUUGUGCUUCUCGAUGAUCAGAUAUUUAUGGCAUGGUUGUUAUGCUCUGCUCAUGGUCGUGUGUAACGUAGGGUAUAGAUGAUGCUUCAUGGUGAUCAUGGUGCCAUGGUGGUGGUGUACAUGGCAUCGAUGGUACUUCAUGCAUGCAUGGUUGCUUUCUUUGCAACAGAUAUGCAGCGCUGCCUUUUCGCUUCUUCUCUGUUUUAUAUGUCUAAUUGUUCCAGGGGUCUAACAGCAGGCAGUAUAUUUCACGGGAUUUCUAUAUCAGUAGUUUUCUGCUCAAACUUUUUCAUGCACCUAUAAUUAUGCAUUGGCCUUCUGGAUAUAGUUGGAAUGCUACAUCCAUUUAUUAUAUCAUAUUGCCAUGAGUUAUAACCGUGUCUUCAUGUUUGUCCUAUUUUACUUACCUUCCUAUGUUUUCUUGAGAAACUUCAUGCCUGCGAAGCUUUGGUGACUUGAUGACAGGAGAAGUGGUCAGGAUUGAGCCAUCGGACAAGAGAUGACCGCCGUCGAUUGCCAACAAAUUUUUGUAUGCCGCAGUGAGCGGGAUGGGUUCAAUAUCUUCAGAUGCUCUGCACUGCACCGGCUAUAUUUGAUAUGAGUCCACAUGCAAAAUAAAGGCAUCACACGUUCUGGGUUGCUCAGCUAUGCUUUUUUUUCGUGAUUGGAUUAUAUGCUACUCGGUGUUGAAGGGUUUGUUCAUGUCAAAGUUAACAAAUCUUGUGAUGUUACCAGAGAUUGCCCAUUUACUCAUUCUGCAUGGGAUGGUCAGGGUUUGAUUAUUUUUGUCAGCAGACUUUCAUUCAGAAAAUAACCCAAUGGCGCUCGCCUGUUCUCUUUACUUAUGUAACUACACAAUAGUGCUUUAUUAAUUUUGUUGUGCAAAUAAUCAGUCGUUGUGUUUAUGAGAAAUGAUAA
Non-coding RNA from Aegilops tauschii subsp. strangulata, 4194 nucleotides. The record is from RefSeq and is a predicted model, not a curated record. NCBI's taxonomy places the organism in Eukaryota, Viridiplantae, Streptophyta, Magnoliopsida, Poales, Poaceae.